RNAcentral lists this ribosomal RNA (253 nucleotides) under uncultured bacterium. RNAcentral's name for it is "partial 16S ribosomal RNA". It matches the Rfam family "Bacterial small subunit ribosomal RNA", at positions 524 to 776 of the family's 1533-position model. The record is from RNAcentral.
UACGUAGGUGGCAAGCGUUGUCCGGAUUUACUGGGCGUAAAGCGUGCGCAGGCGGUUCGUUGUGUCGGCGGUGAAAGCCCCGGGCUCAACCUGGGAAUGGCCGUUGAAACUGGCGAACUGGAGUGUGGCAGAGGGGGGUGGAAUUCCGCGUGUAGCAGUGAAAUGCGUAGAGAUGCGGAGGAACACCGAUGGCGAAGGCAGCCCCCUGGGCUGACACUGACGCUCAGGCACGAAAGCGUGGGGAGCAAACAGG